AAGUCGUAACAAGGUAUCCGUUGGUGAACCAGCGGAUGGAUCAUUACCUGAAGCGAGAUACGCCAAUGAGGGGUGUGGCUGCCGCAGUUGGUUAGCCUCUGGGAUGGCUGGUGAAUCAGCCUGCCAGUGCUCGUGGUGUGGGAGACGACUGAAGUUGGUGUUCGAGGCCAGCGAGAGUCGCACGCUUGACGAGUGGAGGGGUUGUUGGAAGGGACUUCCUUCCUCGAAGUCCAGGCGAGAUGCCUCCUCAAUCCCUAGGACUGCCAUUGACCUCACCAAAGCGAUUGUCUGUAAAGAGGACAACUGCUGGCCGUGGAUCACUUGGCUGACG
Molecule: unclassified non-coding RNA, 331 nt
Filed under: fungal sp.
Lineage: Eukaryota; Fungi
Description: partial internal transcribed spacer region
Rfam family: Eukaryotic small subunit ribosomal RNA (bases 1-46)
Source: RNAcentral